This 429-nucleotide ribosomal RNA is filed under the name Verrucomicrobiota bacterium. RNAcentral describes it as "Verrucomicrobia bacterium partial 16S ribosomal RNA". It matches the Rfam family "Bacterial small subunit ribosomal RNA", at positions 355 to 776 of the family's 1533-position model. The record is from RNAcentral. Lineage: Bacteria; Pseudomonadati; Verrucomicrobiota.
UAGGGAAUCUUCGGCAAUGGGGGGAACCCUGACCGAGCAACGCCGCGUGAGUGAAGAAGGUUUUCGGAUCGUAAAGCUCUGUUGUUAAGGAAGAACGAGUGUGAGAAUGGAAAGUUCAUGCUGUGACGGUACUUAACCAGAAAGGGACGGCUAACUACGUGCCAGCAGCCGCGGUAAUACGUAGGUCCCGAGCGUUGUCCGGAUUUAUUGGGCGUAAAUCGAGCGCAGGCGGUUAGAAAAGUCUGAAGUGAAAGGCAGUGGCUCAACCAUUGUAGGCUUUGGAAACUGUUUAACUUGAGUGCAGAAGGGGAGAGUGGAAUUCCAUGUGUAGCGGUGAAAUGCGUAGAUAUAUGGAGGAACACCGGUGGCGAAAGCGGCUCUCUGGUCUGUAACUGACGCUGAGGCUCGAAAGCGUGGGGAGCGAACAGG